CUGCCUACGGGACGCAGCAGUGAGGAAUAUUGGUCAAUGGGCGCGAGCCUGAACCAGCCAAGUCGCGUGAGGGAAGACGGUCCUAUGGAUUGUAAACCUCUUUUGUCGGGGAGCAAAAGACGCCACGCGUGGCGUUCCGAGAGUACCCGAAGAAAAAGCAUCGGCUAACUCCGUGCCAGCAGCCGCGGUAAUACGGAGGAUGCGAGCGUUAUCCGGAUUUAUUGGGUUUAAAGGGUGCGCAGGCGGAAGAUCAAGUCAGCGGUAAAAUUGAAGGGCUCAACCUAUUCGAGCCGUUGAAAGUGGAG
Molecule: ribosomal RNA, 305 nt
Filed under: uncultured bacterium
Lineage: Bacteria
Description: bacterial SSU rRNA
Rfam family: Bacterial small subunit ribosomal RNA
Source: RNAcentral